RNAcentral lists this ribosomal RNA (446 nucleotides) under uncultured bacterium. RNAcentral's name for it is "partial 16S ribosomal RNA". It matches the Rfam family "Bacterial small subunit ribosomal RNA", at positions 354 to 796 of the family's 1533-position model. The record is from RNAcentral.
GUAAGGAAUAUUGGUCAAUGGGGGCAACCCUGAACCAGCCAUGCCGCGUGAAGGAUGAAGGCGUUAUGCGUUGUAAACUUCUUUUGUAUGGGAAGAAUGACAGGGAUUUAUCCUUGGAGAGACGGUACCAUACGAAUAAGCACCGGCUAACUCCGUGCCAGCAGCCGCGGUAAUACGGAGGGUGCAAGCGUUAUCCGGAUUCACUGGGUUUAAAGGGUGCGUAGGCGGAUAAAUAAGUCAGUGGUGAAAUCAACGGGCUCAACCUGUUAACUGCCAUUGAUACUGUGUAUCUUGAAUAUGAGAGAGGUAGGCGGAAUGUUGCAUGUAGCGGUGAAAUGCUUAGAUAUGCUACGGAACACCGAUUGCGAAGGCAGCUUACUAUUUCGUAAUUGACGCUGAGGCACGAAAGCGUGGGUAGCGAACAGGAUUAGAAACCCGAGUAGUCC